RNAcentral lists this ribosomal RNA (2905 nucleotides) under Escherichia coli. RNAcentral describes it as "23S ribosomal RNA". It matches the Rfam family "Bacterial large subunit ribosomal RNA". Lineage: Bacteria; Pseudomonadati; Pseudomonadota; Gammaproteobacteria; Enterobacterales; Enterobacteriaceae. The record is from RNAcentral.
GGUUAAGCGACUAAGCGUACACGGUGGAUGCCCUGGCAGUCAGAGGCGAUGAAGGACGUGCUAAUCUGCGAUAAGCGUCGGUAAGGUGAUAUGAACCGUUAUAACCGGCGAUUUCCGAAUGGGGAAACCCAGUGUGAUUCGUCACACUAUCAUUAACUGAAUCCAUAGGUUAAUGAGGCGAACCGGGGGAACUGAAACAUCUAAGUACCCCGAGGAAAAGAAAUCAACCGAGAUUCCCCCAGUAGCGGCGAGCGAACGGGGAGCAGCCCAGAGCCUGAAUCAGUGUGUGUGUUAGUGGAAGCGUCUGGAAAGGCGUGCGAUACAGGGUGACAGCCCCGUACACAAAAAUGCACAUGCUGUGAGCUCGAUGAGUAGGGCGGGACACGUGGUAUCCUGUCUGAAUAUGGGGGGACCAUCCUCCAAGGCUAAAUACUCCUGACUGACCGAUAGUGAACCAGUACCGUGAGGGAAAGGCGAAAAGAACCCCGGCGAGGGGAGUGAAAAAGAACCUGAAACCGUGUACGUACAAGCAGUGGGAGCACAGAGCAAUCUGUGUGACUGCGUACCUUUUGUAUAAUGGGUCAGCGACUUAUAUUCUGUAGCAAGGUUAACCGAAUAGGGGAGCCGAAGGGAAACCGAGUCUUAACUGGGCGUUAAGUUGCAGGGUAUAGACCCGAAACCCGGUGAUCUAGCCAUGGGCAGGUUGAAGGUUGGGUAACACUAACUGGAGGACCGAACCGACUAAUGUUGAAAAAUUAGCGGAUGACUUGUGGCUGGGGGUGAAAGGCCAAUCAAACCGGGAGAUAGCUGGUUCUCCCCGAAAGCUAUUUAGGUAGCGCCUCGUGAAUUCAUCUCCGGGGGUAGAGCACUGUUUCGGCAAGGGGGUCAUCCCGACUUACCAACCCGAUGCAAACUGCGAAUACCGGAGAAUGUUAUCACGGGAGACACACGGCGGGUGCUAACGUCCGUCGUGAAGAGGGAAACAACCCAGACCGCCAGCUAAGGUCCCAAAGUCAUGGUUAAGUGGGAAACGAUGUGGGAAGGCCCAGACAGCCAGGAUGUUGGCUUAGAAGCAGCCAUCAUUUAAAGAAAGCGUAAUAGCUCACUGGUCGAGUCGGCCUGCGCGGAAGAUGUAACGGGGCUAAACCAUGCACCGAAGCUGCGGCAGCGACACUAUGUGUUGUUGGGUAGGGGAGCGUUCUGUAAGCCUGUGAAGGUGUACUGUGAGGUAUGCUGGAGGUAUCAGAAGUGCGAAUGCUGACAUAAGUAACGAUAAAGCGGGUGAAAAGCCCGCUCGCCGGAAGACCAAGGGUUCCUGUCCAACGUUAAUCGGGGCAGGGUGAGUCGACCCCUAAGGCGAGGCCGAAAGGCGUAGUCGAUGGGAAACAGGUUAAUAUUCCUGUACUUGGUGUUACUGCGAAGGGGGGACGGAGAAGGCUAUGUUGGCCGGGCGACGGUUGUCCCGGUUUAAGCGUGUAGGCUGGUUUUCCAGGCAAAUCCGGAAAAUCAAGGCUGAGGCGUGAUGACGAGGCACUACGGUGCUGAAGCAACAAAUGCCCUGCUUCCAGGAAAAGCCUCUAAGCAUCAGGUAACAUCAAAUCGUACCCCAAACCGACACAGGUGGUCAGGUAGAGAAUACCAAGGCGCUUGAGAGAACUCGGGUGAAGGAACUAGGCAAAAUGGUGCCGUAACUUCGGGAGAAGGCACGCUGAUAUGUAGGUGAAGUCCCUCGCGGAUGGAGCUGAAAUCAGUCGAAGAUACCAGCUGGCUGCAACUGUUUAUUAAAAACACAGCACUGUGCAAACACGAAAGUGGACGUAUACGGUGUGACGCCUGCCCGGUGCCGGAAGGUUAAUUGAUGGGGUUAGCGCAAGCGAAGCUCUUGAUCGAAGCCCCGGUAAACGGCGGCCGUAACUAUAACGGUCCUAAGGUAGCGAAAUUCCUUGUCGGGUAAGUUCCGACCUGCACGAAUGGCGUAAUGAUGGCCAGGCUGUCUCCACCCGAGACUCAGUGAAAUUGAACUCGCUGUGAAGAUGCAGUGUACCCGCGGCAAGACGGAAAGACCCCGUGAACCUUUACUAUAGCUUGACACUGAACAUUGAGCCUUGAUGUGUAGGAUAGGUGGGAGGCUUUGAAGUGUGGACGCCAGUCUGCAUGGAGCCGACCUUGAAAUACCACCCUUUAAUGUUUGAUGUUCUAACGUUGACCCGUGAUCCGGGUUGCGGACAGUGUCUGGUGGGUAGUUUGACUGGGGCGGUCUCCUCCUAAAGAGUAACGGAGGAGCACGAAGGUUGGCUAAUCCUGGUCGGACAUCAGGAGGUUAGUGCAAUGGCAUAAGCCAGCUUGACUGCGAGCGUGACGGCGCGAGCAGGUGCGAAAGCAGGUCAUAGUGAUCCGGUGGUUCUGAAUGGAAGGGCCAUCGCUCAACGGAUAAAAGGUACUCCGGGGAUAACAGGCUGAUACCGCCCAAGAGUUCAUAUCGACGGCGGUGUUUGGCACCUCGAUGUCGGCUCAUCACAUCCUGGGGCUGAAGUAGGUCCCAAGGGUAUGGCUGUUCGCCAUUUAAAGUGGUACGCGAGCUGGGUUUAGAACGUCGUGAGACAGUUCGGUCCCUAUCUGCCGUGGGCGCUGGAGAACUGAGGGGGGCUGCUCCUAGUACGAGAGGACCGGAGUGGACGCAUCACUGGUGUUCGGGUUGUCAUGCCAAUGGCACUGCCCGGUAGCUAAAUGCGGAAGAGAUAAGUGCUGAAAGCAUCUAAGCACGAAACUUGCCCCGAGAUGAGUUCUCCCUGACUCCUUGAGAGUCCUGAAGGAACGUUGAAGACGACGACGUUGAUAGGCCGGGUGUGUAAGCGCAGCGAUGCGUUGAGCUAACCGGUACUAAUGAACCGUGAGGCUUAACCUU